UGGAACCAGGGUCGAAGUCUUCCUCUGAGCGGGAGCAUGGGGUUUGCCACAGGGGCCCCAGAGGAAAGAGGUCAGCGGGCCAGAGGCAGCUGAGAGGUUUUAGGUGAUGGGGACAAAGGCGUAGCCACUAGCCAUCUAGUAAUGUGGAAGUCACUGAGGGUAAUAUGGACACGCUAAAAGGAUGAGAUGUGUCCAUGGUGUGUUUGUCCACCAGACUAGGAGCUCCCUGGGGUCAGGGAGCGUCUGUUCAUCUUGAUGUCCUCCAGCGUCACUGGAUACUCGGGGCUGGCCCAUGGCAGGGGCUCAGCUUGGUGAGUGGCAGGCCCCAGAAGGGCCUCUGAGCAGCUACUGACUCACCCGCCUUCCCCCAGCCAAGCAUCCCGCCCAGAGCAGGGUCAUUCCAGCCAGGCCAGGACACAGUGAGGACACUGGGCCAGCCCUGGAAGUUCAGUGAACUCUGAAUCAAUCUACGAAUCAUCCCGUCAGCAGAAAUCUGCCCAACCUGGUUGCCACAGAACAGCCUGUGUACCGUCAGCAGAGAAAACCAAAGCCCAGAGAUUAAAGCCACUCUGCUGAGGUCACACCGUGAGUACCUGCCCAGUUCUAUUCAGUGUUGCGCUGGAGCCAAGUCCCACAAGAGCAGACUGUGUUCAUUUCUCUCCACUCCGCAUUCCGUGUCAGCGUGUUGGUUUGAAAUCAGUCAUGA
Non-coding RNA from Macaca mulatta (Rhesus monkey), 706 nucleotides. Lineage: Eukaryota; Metazoa; Chordata; Mammalia; Primates; Cercopithecidae. The record is from RefSeq and is a predicted model, not a curated record.